This 2975-nucleotide long non-coding RNA is filed under the name Oryza sativa (Asian cultivated rice). Its description in RNAcentral is "long non-coding RNA (OSAT_LNC000472)". Lineage: Eukaryota; Viridiplantae; Streptophyta; Magnoliopsida; Poales; Poaceae. The record is from RNAcentral.
GGGAGCGCGCCGAUGCAGAGCGCGGCUGAGAGCAGCACGAGCCAUGACGACGACGACGACGCCAUGAAUGCUACUACUGCUAUCACUAUACACUACGUAAGUACGUGAGACUCAAUAAACGCCUGUUGCUCUCUCACUGAUUUGCUCCUCGCCAUGCUGCUGCUGCCUUUUAUAGCGCGUGCUCGCGUCGCUGGGGGUGAUUAGCGUUUAUGGAUCGCCCGUACUACUGUCCGUGUGUUGCAUUUCUCUGGUAAUUUUGUUUCUUUCACUCGGAUUAAUCUCUAUUGAGAUGUGUACAUUUGGAUUUCUUUUUGCAGCUUCUGGUGUUCUUGCUUCGUUGGCGAGUGACAUGAAUGAGUUUGAUCAGUUAGGUGGUUAACUGCACUGGUGUGAACGAUUGGUCAAUCUGUUCCCUUGACUGGAUUUGACCAUGAUGUUUUUUUUAACUUGACAGUUCUUACUCGAUGGUAAUGCUUUGCCACGGUGAUUAGUACAUUGUAUUCAAGAGGGCAGCUGGAUCUAUCAUCUAUGCAACGAUGCCUGGAUUUAGAUGAGCUGUAGUACAUAACUAGCUCUAACAUUGACGGUCAGCAGUAACAAGAUCUGGGGUUUGAGUAGUAUGCAUCAGCAACCCACAUGCAGCUGUUUUCUUUUCCCUGCAGUGUGAUCAUACGUACAAUUCAAUCAGUGAUUCAGUGCCACCUCAAAAAAGAUGCAAGUGUGUAGUGUAGCACAUUACAAUAGACCACCUCUGACAGCAAGUGAGUUUAUUCAUUGCAGAAAAACUGUAUCCUUUAACCUUUCUUCUUUAUUUUCAGCUCUCAUUUUUAUGACCUGAUACAAGUCGCUACAUACCCUUUGCUUAAUACAAAUAUACGCAAAGCUUAUGCUGUUCCUGCAUUUUUUUUUAAAAAAAAGCUAUUACAUAUAUUAUGUAUCCUCUUUGUUUUAGCCGUACUGCUGCUGCCUACCACCUUUGUUCAGAUAAGCUACUACUAACAAGCUGCAAUUAUAUUCUGUUUAUGGAUACUUUUUCAUGUUUACACUCCAGCAUCCAUGUGUACAUUCUCUACCUAUUGAAUAUACUCUAUGUACAGUUUAACCUGGCAAUUUCUGCUGAAUAUCUAUCUCAGGAUCUGUACCAUCUUCAGUAAAGGAAAAUAUAAUCCAGAAUGAAAUGAAAUUGGAUCUGCCCAAGCAGUAAGAGGGGACCCUUGCCCACCCUCAACCGCGGGCCGCAUUUAUUUCUGAAUUCAGGUACAUGAUCGAGCAUCUUCUUUCCUGUGAUUGCGCAUGGUAAAAUCUAGAUGGUACCAUCAUGAAGAUUCACUACUUAUAGUUUGCCUUUCUCAUAGUUCAGAUGAAGUACUCAGCUAGUAACUAUAGUGUCUGGCAAUACUCCGUCCAAAAAAAGACCGAUCCUGUCCAGGUUUAUUGCUAGAUUGGUUUUUUUUUUUUGGGGGGGGGGGGGGGGGGAGGGGUAAGCUACAAGCACUGUUGGUUCAGGAAAAUAAAAAAAGAAUACGUGAGAAAAUACAUACAUGUAAAAUAUGUUUGCAUUGGUGAAAACUGCCAAGUUACAAACACUGUAGGUUCUGAAAAACAAACAAAAGAAAAUGUCUCUACCGUUUGAUUUAAACAUCGGAAAAACAAACAAAAGAAAAUGUGGUGUGGUCAUUGUUGUUCCCUUGUUUUAACAAGUGGGAGACAUAGAACUACUCUAACAUUAGGAAUGACCUGGCUGCAUAAUAACAUAACCAGACUCACCUCCUUCUGGAGGCCAUUGAAUUCUGAUGUUCCCUGGACAGGAGGAUGAAAACAGAUUGACAUGGGGCAAAGCCAGUAGGAUGAGAUCUAAGCUAGGAGGCUAGUUAAAGUACAGAAAUUUUGACUUCACAUGCUUCGGUUGCUGGAGUGAACCGGUUAAGCAAAGUACAGUGACUGUGAUUCUUGCAGUCAAUCUACCUGUCCUGGUUUUUACUGCUGAUAAAACCUGCAGAUAGGCAGUAUCUUGCACCUGCUCAUCAAAUCUUCAUUAUUUACUGUUCUAGUACACAUUAAUAUUUAUGAACACUUAUGUGUAGUAACAUGAAUGCAUUUUCAAAACUCCAUUUUUUUGCAUGUACUAACAUGAUUCGACUGACGAAUUGAUGCCAUAUUUUUCAUGAAGAGGUGUCUGAAGUCAUCUUUCUCCUUGAUACGCAAACGAACUCCGCUGUUUUUAAUCAAGAGAACAAGGUGGAGCUCUAGCUUGGAGUGUAUUUGAUCUCAUGCGACUCUAAUCAAUGCGCUUUGCUGUUGAUGGGGAUCUGCAGAUAUGAAGGCUACAGCGAUGCUUCUCGAUCGAUGCUUUUGUUCUUAAUACAUGUCACCUUCAGGGCGAUCCAACCACGGCAAAUUAAUCAUUUGAUGAUGGAUACUACACUCUCCAAAUGCAACUAAGUCGAGGUUGAUAGGGUGUCACUGUCUCACGAGAUCCCUAAUGUACAUAUAAUGCUCUGAUGACAGUGAUGUUGGGGAAUUAAUGGGAACUGAUAUAUCUUAAUCAUGGCCACACUACUCUUCAUAGACAAGCUAUAGACAGUACUGAUACAGUUGGCCUAUGGACUAAUGGAGUAUGUCUUAAUGCAGGCAGCAAUGAAGCACGCAUUAAGUUUGUCUAGCACUGUUAAAUUAAUGCUAAUUAGGAUGCACUUGGAGAGCUGUUUCCAGUGAUAAUCCAUGCCAUGCCGCCCUACUACUCUACUAUGUUUAUGCUUGUAUAAUGAGGUUAACUAACGUGGUGUAUAUAUGCAUAAUAUCGUGUAAUUACACUACCUACCAUUAGGGGAAUGUUAUUUGGAUAAUACUGUAGCUAGCUGGAGUGUUAGGCUGCAGUUAACUGUUGCAGCCAUAUACAGUAAUGGUGCCAAGUUAGGUAGGUAGCCAUGAAUCAUUAACUGUUGAAGUUAAUUAGUAGAUGGAGUACAUGCAUG